GAUGAACGCUGGCGGCGUGGAUAAGGCAUGCAAGUCGAGCGGGUUUAGACCCGCGGCAAACGAGGUAGUAACACGUAGGUACCUACCCUUAAGACGGGGAUAUUCCAUCGAAAGAUGGCGCAAUACCCGAUAGUCCCUCCGGGGUAAAGAUUUAUCGCUUAAGGAAGGGCCUGCGGGCUAUCAGCUAGUUGGUAAGGUAAUGGCUUACCAAGGCUAUGACGGCUAGGGGAGGUGAGAGCCUGACCCCCACCGAUGGGACUGCGACACGGCCCAGACUCCUACGGGAGGCAGCAGUGGGGAAUAUUGGACAAUGGGCGCAAGCCUGAUCCAGCCAUGCCGCGUGAGUGACGAAGGUCUUCGGAUUGUAAAGCUCUUUUGGCGGGGAAGAUAAUGACGGUACCCGCAGAAUAAGCCCCGGCUAACUUCGUGCCAGCCGCCGCAGUAA
Molecule: ribosomal RNA, 445 nt
Filed under: uncultured bacterium
Lineage: Bacteria
Description: partial 16S ribosomal RNA
Rfam family: Bacterial small subunit ribosomal RNA
Source: RNAcentral